GACCAAGACUUUAUUUGCAAUUCUCAUUGUAUGAAUUGUAAAAUCAUCAGUAUUUUUUUUUAAAAUUAAUAGACAUACUUGCAGUGUCUUUAAAAAGGGAGGAAUAUUUAAUGAAGUUGCUGGUGACAUUAAAAUAUUAUAAAUCCUUUAUUUACUAAAACUAAUGACGUUUUUCACAUGACAGCACCGGAUGCAUUUAUGCAAAUUUGUAUGUUCUAUAUUGAAUAUUAGGGUACAUUAAAUGUUGGUUUUUAUGUUUCAUAUGCUUGCACUCUUCCAGUUUCUUACUCUGUAAAGUGAUAAUUGCAUGACCUUCUCAAGCUCAUGUGUCUUAUCUUUUAUUAAUACUAUAUUACCAUUAUUAUUAUAUAUUUAUAAUAAUAUUAUAACUAUAAAGACUUGAAAAGCAGUGUAAAUCGUAAAAGAAAAAAUAAUUGAUAAUUGUAAAAAUUAUGUUCCAAGUGAUUCAUGAUUCUACUGCAUUAGGCAAUUUUAGUUGCUCGUUCUAUGUGCAAUAGUGCAUACAUAUGAAAAAUACUAUAAAUCAUCUGGUUGCAAAUUGUUUAACAUUCCACAAUGAUCAAUUUUUUAUCUGAAGUUGACUGGAUAUAAUUUACUUGCAUACGUUACACAACCAUUAGGAGCCACUCCAAUUAAACCUUUUAAUAUACUUUUAUGUUUGUAAGAAUUAUAUUUUAAUUUUUUGAUCUGAAAGUGAUUUUGAAAUAUUGCAUGUAAUUUUAGUACAAUCUAAUGUAAUUCUGUAGUUUUGAAAAUUAUGAAAACAGGCAAGCAAUUUCGAGUUUUGUUUUGUAAGGACACUAAAGUCAUCAAAUUUUAAUACAAAUGUUUGUGAAGAACAAUGAAAAAUGUCAAAAUAAUAUUUAUUAGUAUUAAAUCUAAAUACCAAAUUUGUGUAAGCUGUAUUUAAUCUUAAUUUUAUAAAAGCCAUUCAAAUUUGAUCUUUUAAGCAAUUUAUUUUAAUGGUCCAGCCAUAAAAAUAAUGAUCAAAAACUUUGGAACAUAAAUCCAAAAUAAUGUCAAACAUAGCUAUACUUAGACUACAUUAAAAUUCAAAAAUGUUAUCAAAUUUGAUUGAAUGGUAACCAAAAGGUUGAAGGUUUAAGAAACGGUGUUUGUUUUAAAUCUUCAUUUUCUUUUUGAAGAAAAUGGAUUUCAACUUUAUCCUAAAUAAUAUUUUUGGAUAGUUCAAUAGUGAUAUAUGUUUCUAAUUCAUCAACAUGUUCAAUUAUAGGAAAAGUACACUUAGUAUUUCAUUAACUACCUUAUGCUUAAAAUAUAAUAUAAAUAAUUAAUUCUGUUAUAUUAUAUAAUUUCAUUAAAUAUAUUAUAUAGUCAGGUAGAAACAACACUAAAGCUCAUAUUUGUUGUAAGUAUUUAUGUUAGAGUAGGUAUUAAGAACCAGAUUACCCAACUUCAAAUGAUUAACAGAAACAAGGGAAAAGUAAAAGUAGAUAAGGUACACUAAAUGAGAAGAAAAAUAAUUUAGAAAACAUUAUACAGCACAAUUUAAACAAUAUACAAUUAAAGACUGUUUAUUAUCUUUGUAUAUACAACAUCUUUGUCUAUUUAUUUUUUAUAGAAUAAAAACUACUGGGCCGAUUAAACUGAAACUUUGUAUGAAAGUAGUUUUAGGAAUAACAUGCAGACUAUAUUUUAUGUAAUACAAUUAAUAUAGUGAUUUAUUUAACGUGAACUAGCUAUUUUCAAACAUAAUUUUAUUAAAGAAAAUUACUGGUUCAUGAUAAAUUUACCACUCUGUAUAAUUAAUUUGCAAUUUAAAUAUUAAAUAAGAGACAAAUCACAACACCAUAAACAUAAAAUCACAAAUAUUAAUUUACUUAAUGCAUACUAGCUAUGUUUUUGGAAGAUUUAAAUGAAACAUGCAUUUUAUUUCACUCAAAAAUACUGUGACCAUUUUAUCUUAAGCCAUUAAUAAAAUGGCAACUGCAAAUUUAAUUUUUUUUUUGUUGAGCAAGUCAAUUGGUUUCGUAAAAUAAUAAUUGUACAUUGUUCCCUAAACAAUGUAUUAAUAGACAUACACACAGAACAACUCAACUAUAAAUUUACUAUUUACUAGUUUUGCCCAUAUUUUACAACCAAUGUCAUUUGUUGGAAAUGGGAGAAUAUAAUUUUCUCAGACAUGAAAACACAAGGAAACUGACCAUAAUAGUUCAAAUAUAAAAUGCAAAAAAUAGUUCAAUAUUAUUAAAUAUAAAUUAUGAUGGAUUAAAAAAAUAUAAUA
Cinara cedri is the source of this 2266-nucleotide non-coding RNA. Lineage: Eukaryota; Metazoa; Arthropoda; Insecta; Hemiptera; Aphididae. The record is from the annotation of a GenBank genome assembly.